This 94-nucleotide transfer RNA is filed under the name Roseospira marina. Its description in RNAcentral is "tRNA-Ser". The record is from RNAcentral. Lineage: Bacteria; Pseudomonadati; Pseudomonadota; Alphaproteobacteria; Rhodospirillales; Rhodospirillaceae.
GCGGGGUGAAAGAAAAGUAAAAACAAUCACUUAUGCUGAAGUCUGUAUCUUGCCAAGGUUGGGGUCGUGAGUUCGAAUCUCAUCGCCCGCUCCA